Molecule: long non-coding RNA, 2214 nt
Organism: Myotis brandtii (Brandt's bat)
Lineage: Eukaryota; Metazoa; Chordata; Mammalia; Chiroptera; Vespertilionidae
Exons: 4
Source: RefSeq, a predicted model, not a curated record
AAGGCGGCUGUGGCGCCCGGGGUGCAUGAGGCUGCGCUGGCCACUCUCGGGAACGGGUUGGGGGCCCUUCUUUGUUUUCUUUUUUUUUUAAGCUUUUAAGAGGAAGCUGCCCUUGAUUUUUCUCUCUUCUGCUUUGAGCUUUGCGGAGGACUUGAUGGUGGCCCCUGGGCUGCUUCAGUGUGGAGUCAGCCGCCGCACUGUGUGUCCCACGGAGGAGGAUGAGAGGUGGAGACAGGGCAAAGGAAGAGCAAAAAAACCACCCUGCGGACAAGAAGGACACUGGAAAAGGAAUGCCCUGGGAAGGGGCCUCCUCAAAAACCAUGCAAGUGUGACCAUUAAAAGAUGGGCUGUUCCAGGAGCUGGAGGGUCUCCAGACAAGAACCUACCCACACGAUGGCUUUGAACUGAAGGGGCCCUAUGUUCCAGUUAGCUCCUACUAAGAACAUCAAAAUUGAAUGGACAGAGCCUUGGGUGACCUUUAAUGUGACAGCCUCCUAAAAGUGGUCAAGGACACCAAAGGAAUGAUUCAUGUUAUCUCUGUUAUGCCUCUUAAAAAUUUUACACUGGGAAGGAACAUACGAAGAUCCAGAGCCAAGUUCGAAUGGGAAAUUCUCAGAAGUAACAAGUAUCCUGUCCAUGACAGUGGACAAGCCUAGUGUAAUAGUUCCCUAUUGGAGACAUCUGGUGGUAGAACUUCAGAUGUUUGUGAUCCACACAUUGAGGCAUUUAUAAAUUGUUUCCAGUACUCAAUGUACACUUCUAAUAAGCUAUGUGCAGCAUUUUAAAAUCUUGCAUAUUGUUUGUUCUUUAUAUCUUAAAAUUCUACAUUGAAUCUAAGAAUAUAAACUUUAUGUCACUUCAUAACAAUUAUUAUUUGCCAAGAAAUUGUUAUCCUGGAAUGUUAUAUCUUACAGAAAAGCAAGGUUCUUUGUCAAUUGUUUUAUAGUCAAGUCUAUAACCAUGUCAUUUUAAGUUUGUCAUUUAUUAUUAUUAUGACUUUGUUCAAAACAUCACUAAUUUUUAAGAAAUAUUUCUGUUUUCCAGGUAUAAGAAAGUUUAUUUAAUAAAUUAUACCUUCAUAAACAAUAUUGAGGCAUUUAUGUUUUUCUCCCUACCUGAUCCCUCCAGAAUUUGACAGCUCUCAAUGAGUGAGCAUUAUUUUUAUAGAAAUAUAUUUGUUUGCAUAAAUCCAAUAAGAAUCUAUUCACUUUAUAAAACCAAGUUCCAAUUGCAGGUCUAUUAACCAAGACUUUGACUGGAAUGUCAUGUUUGAGAGAGACAUGCUAGGACUCUGGAUGUCACCAAAAGCCUUAAGGAAUAAAAGACUGACUUUAAAGCCAAUAAGAUUACCUUGGAGAAAUGGCCUGGUACCUUGCUUGUUCAUUUGGUUCACAGCACUCUUUCCAGGUAAGGAACAAAGGUUGCUUUCCUGGGAGAUGGCAGAGAGAACCUCAAGACAUUUUGGUGACCUCAAGAACUUGAGGAAUCCACUCAGACCCUUACAGGCAAAGCCAGAUGGCAACUGUGUGGCUUGGCUUCUAUGUCCUGAAGGGCUGACGGAAGCUCAACCUAGGUAUUUCUUAUAAGUGAAAUUCCAGCAAAGUAAAUCUAAAAGAGACUUAUAAUCAGUUACUAUUCUUAUUGUGUUUAUACAAAUAAUAAGGUCAAGUUAAAACCUAAUACAGUCUCUUUAAUAAAAAUGAGGGUGAUUUUAGGGAGAGAAAUUUUGUUUCAAUAAAAAUCACAAUGCCCAAUUGUAGGUAUUAAACUCCAUUGCAAUUAACUGUUUUCAAAGUUUUAAGAAAGUUUUAUACAGACCUCAGCACCUGAUAACAUCAUCAGAGAUAUUCUACCUACAGACAAUCUAUCAAAUUGUCACUGCUUACUUUCUUUCCAGCAAAAGCCUUCUCAAUUGGUUUAUAAUUCUCUAUAUUGAUUAAACUUUGUGUUCUUUCUGUUUGUAUAGGUUAUAUGCCUAUGACCUUAACAAAUACCUAACUUUUUUAUGACCUACUUUUUUAUCUCGAAAUAAACCUAUUUUAAGUCCCCACAGGAACAUCAAUGGGCUACUCUUAUGAGUCUAAUAAGGACAUCAAGUUCCUCUUCCAGAUACAAAAAAACCUAUACAAUAAGUAAUGUAAUAACUAAACAUUAAUACAGUAGGGCCUUGACUUACGAGUUUAAUUCGUUCCGUGACAGAACUCGUAACUCAAA